Molecule: long non-coding RNA, 4649 nt
Organism: Ictalurus punctatus (channel catfish)
Lineage: Eukaryota; Metazoa; Chordata; Actinopteri; Siluriformes; Ictaluridae
Source: Ensembl
CACAAAUCCUGCAUCAUACACACAAACAGAUUCAUGUUUUUAACUCCGUGCUGCUGAUAUUCUGCCUAAUGUAGUCUUCAAACAAUAGCACAUGGGCUAUAGGUAUAAUAAAGGCCAAAGGGUGGGGCGUUUCUCUCUCAGAUAAGGCAAUUCCACAUUUUGCCACUGGCAGUCAGCAUCAAUAAAAUACUGUACUGUUACUAUAGUGAACACUUGCUACCCAUUACCUGUCUGUAUGAAAUGGUAAAUGGGCUGCACUUAUAUAACCCCUUUUUUAACCUUAGCAGUUUUACAAAAGCACUUUACACCGUUUGUCAUUCACCCAUUCACACACACACACACACACACACACACACUCAAGGCUCUAGCCUGCCCUCGGGAGCAACUUGGGGUUCAGUGUCUCACCCAAGGACACUUAGGCAUGUGGGCUGGGGAUUGAACUGCCCACCCUGCGAUUAGUGGAGGACAUAAGAACCCCCAUCUUCAAUUCAAAAAGAGGUCAAAAACUGAGCAACAUGCCAGAAGACACUGAAGAAUUCUCCGCUGAGGGUCUGUUACAACAGUUUCCAGAAGACAACCCAGCUUUGCUACAGAACUAUCAAGAGCUUCAGGUGGUUCAACUGUCAUGUCCAAAACUGUCAAUCACCUCAUCAACCGCACCUUUUUAAUUGAUCCAUCAUCAAAUAACUGAGUUUUUCCCUUGCCACAGUCACCUCUGACUUGCUCAUUAAGGAUAAAUUCAUACAUUUCAAAUCUAGAUUUAUAUAUUUCUGUAUGUCACGUUAAGCAGAUGAGAGAGGGAUGCGAAUGCAGUCUCCGCUUAAAGUUUAAAUUAAACCAUAAACACAAAACUAUGUAACGCCUGGCGAAAUACAAUGACUAGGAAACACAAACAUGAAUACAAUAAACGAGACAAUAAGCAUAGAAAAUGCAUUUAUUGUAAGAAAAACUAUUGGGGGAGAUAAAGGUCAUCUGGACUUGUUAAAACGACAGAAGCCUGUUCCUGAAAACAAUUAAUGGAGCUGCAACUUAAAAUGUAAUCUUACCAGAUUUCCCAUCGACUAUCCUGGGAAUAGGUGGAGUUAAGAUUGUACUGCAUCCAGCCACUAGAAGGCGUCAGAGACAUUUUGGCUUCACUUUUUAAUCCCUGUUACAAUGUACCUACAGACACUAUUUAUUUAUAGUUUUAGACACUACAAAAACUGCUCCUACAUUUCGACAUGAACAGAUGACCCACGGCUAAAAUGUUAACUAAUGCCGAACACUACAUUCUUUAACAGAUUUUUGUUAUUUUCAUUUUUUUUUUUUUUUAAACCCACUGAUUUUCUCUUUCAGUGUGCGUUGUGCCGGUUCAGCAUUUGCUGUCUCAUCCAGACUCAUUUAUUAUUUAUUCGAGGGCCACGUUUUAUGGCUGAAUCGCUGUUGCGCGGUAUAUUUCACCUCCGGAGGAAAACCCGAGGCAGUGCUGACAGUCCGGGAGUUUUUUUUACUCAUAUUAGAGGAUAUAAUUCAGUUGAUCAUGGGAACAUUAAAAAGGACAGGAUCAGAUUGGUCACGCUUUAGUCUAAAGGAAAGACAUGCAGUCAAAAGAGGCCGUCAGUUAGGCAAGGGGCGCAAGUAGUGACUACUGGUUUAUAUCGAGAAGAUACUUUAACAGUAGAAAUAUACAACAGAAGUGAGUUUACGCAACAUGGAGGAACAUCUAAUAAAAUGCUCUGUGUACGAAUCACUUGUGUGCUCAAUUGAUCUAUAAGACAUGCAGACAAUCUAAGUAGUAGAACUUGAUAGGAGGAUUGGAGGGGUGAUCAACAAGGACCGAGUAUGUUAAGAAAUAUAUUGCUUACGGAUCCUGAGGUAUUACUGUGUGUUUAUUAAUGAAGAGUGACGUUCACGCUUUAUUGAUAGUUUAGCCAUGUUUAUAAAUGCAAUCUUAGAUAUUAUGCAUGCAUUUCAGCCGUGUGUGUGUGUGUGUGUGUGUGUGUGAGAGAGAGAGAGAGAGAGAGAGAGAGAGAGAGAGAGAGAGAGAGAGAGUGUGUGUGUGUGUGUGUGUGUGAGAGAGAGAGAGAGAGAGAGAGAGUGUGUGUGUGUGUGUGUGUGUGUGUCCGCCCAUGCGAUAGACUGGUGUACCCUCCGGUGUGUAUUCCUGCUUUGUGGUCAGAGUUUCUGACACAGGCUCCGGGUCACUGCGACUCCGCCCAGGACAAAACACUCCCUUUAAAUGAAAGAAUUAGGAAAUAAUCUCAGGUUAGAUUCCGCCCUCGUGUUUAAAUGUAGUGGGGAAUUUUUUUUUUUUUUUAAAUCAACAAUAUUCUACAUAGACCACAUUCUUUACUCACUAAUGUUUUCUUUAAGCCAAGCAUAACUUUCUUUGCGACACUUCAGUUCAGGUUUCCCGAAACACAAACUCGAGUCGUGUAGAUGGAACCACAUGCACACACAAUCCCGGAAAUUAAUUCCCAGGGUCUUAUUUAAGGCACGAACGAGCCACCUACAGCCAGCUACUAAUUAACAGCACGGUUGCCGUUACAGCAUGUAGAGCAUGUGGCUCAAAUAGGCAGUUGCCAUGGCAAUACAGUCAUAACACACAAACAAUUUCAACGCCAUUGCAAAGCUUUGACAGCUCUGUUUAUUUUUAUUUUUUUAAAACAAGAGGUAUUGCAGCCGUUAAAAAUAGAGUCAUCACUUGAAUGUCUCCCAACUCUUGGUUUCGUGCUUCAGCUGCAGACAAUACAGAAACACGUGCUCCGAUCACAUCACCACCGACAUUCAACAACAGAACCAUGUCCGAAUGAGAUUUUCCACCGACAGGACCAGUAACUGCCCGUUUUCAUCGUAUUUGUCCAAUCAGGAGUGUGCUUUCCCCUUCUCAUUAUGGCCUCAAUGACUAUUUUACGGCAUUUAUGUUUACAUCUCAAUUUUAUUUCUGUAAAAGGAAAUGAGUUUGUUAUGAAAUUUCUUAACGUUGUUCUUUAUUUAUUUUUAAAAAUCAAUACAGCGACUUUUCCAGCUGGGCCAAACAUCAACAAAACCCAGCAGCCAAGAUCAAUAAUUAUGUGUGUCCACAUUCUAAUGGUUCUGUGGCAUCCUUACAACCUACACUUAGGCAUGAUGGAGAGAGAUGCACUCACAUUCUCAUAAAAAUGUCAACAGGACAACCUUUUUGACGAUGGCACAGAGUGCACGUAUGUAAGAGUUAUGGCUAUAGUCGAAGACCAUGGGUUCUGAUCCUGAAAAAAGAGCAGCGUGUACGCCAGGAACACGAAGUCCCCCAAUCUCCAUCAAUCUGCUGGUGGCAUAUUUAGCACGGAAUUUUAAUGCUUCUCUGAGCCGAGUAAAGAAUGGAAAACCGUUCAGACAUUCGAAGGGUAAUUAUAAUAAACAGCAAUCUAAGGGCAGUUGUUGAAUUCCUUCAAUAAAGGGAUACAAUAUAAGACUAUACGGGUGCGUCUAUAAAAACAAUCUGAAUAUCGUGGAAAAGUUAUUCCCCUCCCGUAACGCAAAUGAAAAAGUGGAACUUUCAUACAGUCUAGAUUCAUUACACAUAAAAUGAAACAUUUCAAGCCUUUUUUUUGUUGUUUUAAUCUUGAAGAUAACAAUUUACAACAGUGUGUGUGUGUGUGUGUGUGUGUGUACGUGUACACUGCACCAGACUGAGAUUAAAGGCUCAGGAAACCUUCGCUGAUGAAAGCUCUUCUCAGGUCGACAUUUCUGUAUUAUAAAUUCUUUAUUCUGAUAUUUUGAGAUACUGGAUUUUUUCCCCGUGAGCCGUAAACCAUAAUCGAGAUUAAAACAAACAAACAAAAAAGGCUUGAAAUAUUUAACUUUAAUAUUGAACUAGAAUAUAUAAAAGUUCCACUUUUUGAAGUAAAUUACAGGAAAAAAACGGGACUUUUCCACGAUAUUCUCGUUUUGUGAGCUGCCCCUGAACAACACAACCAAAACUACACCGUCGCGCUCAUCAGCAACAGUUUCAGAGUAAAACAGACGUGCGAGAAUCUUAACCUGGAAAGAAUUUUGUGGCAUCUGUUCACCAUCACACACACACACACACACAUACACACACACACACACACACACACACACAGUAACCACAAAUCUGUUCCUCUGUUAAACGGUCACAAAAAUAAAAUAAAAAAAGAAAAAAAAAAAGAAUGAUCCAGAUUAUUGUGGCAUUUAACACCUUUGAUUUAAAAAUCCACGAAUUUUUUGCACAAAAGUAUUUAUGGAAUUUAACUCAUGCAUAUACACAGUGGUGCUUGAAAGUUUGUCAACCCUUUAAAAUGUUCCAGAUUUCUGUAUAAAUAGGACCUAAAACAUCAGAUUUUCACACGAGUCCUAAAAGUUGAAAAAGAACCCAAUCAAACAAAAGAAACAAAAUUAUUAUACUGUGUCAUUUAUUUAUUGAGGAAAAUGAUCCAAUAUUACACGUCUGUGAGUGGGAGAAGUAUGUGCACCUCUAGGAUUAGCAGUUCAUCUGAAGGUGAAAUUAGAGUCAGGUGUUUUCAAUCUUUGGGAUGAUAAUCAGGUGUGAGUGAGCGCCCGGUUUUAUUUAAAGAACAGGGAUCUAUCAGAGUCUGAUCUUCACAGCACGUUUGUGGAAGUGUAUCAUGGCACGAACAAUGGAGAUUUCUGAGGACCUCACAGAAAGA